Molecule: ribosomal RNA, 486 nt
Filed under: uncultured bacterium
Lineage: Bacteria
Description: partial 16S ribosomal RNA
Rfam family: Bacterial small subunit ribosomal RNA
Source: RNAcentral
AUUGAACGCUGGCGGCAUGCCUUACACAUGCCAGUCGAACGGCAGCACGGGUGCUUGCACCUGGUGGCGAGUGGCGAACGGGUGAGUAAUACAUCGGAACAUGUCCCGUAGUGGGGGAUAGCCCGGCGAAAGCCGGAUUAAUACCGCAUACGAUCUACGUAUGAAAGCGGGGGACCUUCGGGCCUCGCGCUAUAGGGUUGGCCGAUGGCUGAUUAGCUAGUUGGUGGGGUAAAGGCCUACCAAGGCGACGAUCAGUAGCUGGUCUGAGAGGACGACCAGCCACACUGGGACUGAGACACGGCCCAGACUCCUACGGGAGGCAGCAGUGGGGAAUUUUGGACAAUGGGCGAAAGCCUGAUCCAGCAAUGCCGCGUGUGUGAAGAAGGCCUUCGGGUUGUAAAGCACUUUUGUCCGGAAAGAAAUACUUGGCCCUAAUACGGUCGGGGGAUGACGGUACCGGAAGAAUAAGCACCGGCUAACUACGUG